Molecule: unclassified non-coding RNA, 212 nt
Filed under: plant metagenome
Description: partial contains small subunit ribosomal RNA and internal transcribed spacer 1
Source: RNAcentral
AAGUCGUAACAAGGUUUUUUGUAGGUAAACUUAUAGAAAGAUUAUUACCUUUCUAGCUAUUUAAUAGCUUGUCUAGAAGCUGUAGUUUCUGCAGUUUCUAACUAUAUUUGUGUUUUUUGCGUACUACAUAUUUUCUUAGCAGGCUUGCUUGCUAGUUAGACAAACUAAAACUUUUUGUAAUUAUAAUUAGCGUCUAAAUUAUAUAAUAAUUA